AAGAGAUUCCUGUUACCAUGGGAGAGAAGUGUUCUCCACUCCCUCUCCUGCCACACAGACAUUAAAUGCAGGAUCUCCAGUUUGGUAUGAAGUUCAGAAAAAAGGAUAACAGCAAGCAGCAGAUGAGAUCAGCAGGCACAGUCCACAGCUGAGGUGCUGAGCUCCGUCGUAAUGAUUCCUUCAGCUCCAGUCUACCACACGAGUGUUUCAAAGAAUUCCUUUGCCUUUUAUAAUUUCUACAAAAUUCAGAAAAAGCAUCACCCAGGUAAGUUUACUGAUCCUUGAUUUAAUAAAUAGAAUGUGGAUUCCCUGCCUCAAUGACAGUGAGCUGCCACCUGACAGUAAGCAACACUUCCAUCUGAAGUCCAGCACAAGGUAUGAUAAUGCAGUCAUUGCAAUGAGAACCCUUUUGCAUUGUGCAUGGUCAUUUCAUGUCAGUGGAAAUAAAAGAUAAAUACUUCUCUCCACAUUACAAAUAACAGAAUACAUACAAUCCUUCCACACUUCUCCAUCCACUCUGUAUCAGUCACUGGUGUUAAUUAUGAUUAAUAAAUGAUUAGUAAAACUCAGUUUGGUCAAUAAUAAUCUGCUUUUGCUUUCACCAGGAAGCUCAUCUUUCCUCCAUUGCCUAUGGCUCUUUUAUUGUUCUCUGCCUCUGGUUCCAGAAAACAGUACAGCUUUGCAAAAUGCUUGGAGAUGUCUC
This is a long non-coding RNA of Passer domesticus (house sparrow), 703 nucleotides long. RefSeq lists it as uncharacterized. The transcript has 4 exons. The record is from RefSeq and is a predicted model, not a curated record. NCBI's taxonomy places the organism in Eukaryota, Metazoa, Chordata, Aves, Passeriformes, Passeridae.